Long non-coding RNA from Miniopterus natalensis, 1332 nucleotides. RefSeq lists it as uncharacterized. Lineage: Eukaryota; Metazoa; Chordata; Mammalia; Chiroptera; Miniopteridae. The record is from RefSeq and is a predicted model, not a curated record.
AAAACAUGUAUUUACAUAUGUAAAUACAUAUAUUGUAUUUACAUACAAUAAAGAUAUGUAAACACCUAUCUUUAUUUACAAUAAAGAUACAAAACACAAAAAGAAAAUGAAAAAACCCAGUACAUUGAUAACAUAGUAUUAGGUUGCAUUAAUAAGAUCUAGCAGCAGGUCUAGCAACUACUAGAAUUUUAAAAGGUGAUAGAUGUUUUGAGGUGUCUGAAACAUCAGAAAUAGGAAAAUAUCUGUGACUUCUAUUGGGACAAAGUCACAGGCCCUUCUAAUACUACUGUUAUGUCACCAGCAUCCUAAUAAAGGAAAUGCUACACUUUGCUUAGAAGUUAGUGAAAAUUUAAGUGUAAUCCCUUUUCCUCUCCACUUUUAGGAAUUCUCCUUCUGCCCCCCUACAAUUUAUCCCUGGGCCAAGGAUCUGCAGACCCCCGGUUAAGAGUAUCUGGAUUUAAUAAUCUUUUGUAAUUAACAAUGGUGAUAGGUACCAUUUAGUGCUUACUGUUUGCCUGUUGUAGGGUUUAUUUACAGUAUUAUUAAUCUUCAUAGCCAUUCUAUGAGGUAAUUAUUACUCUUGUUUAACAGAUGUAGAAAUGGGGGCUUUUGUAGGUCAAAUAAUUUGCUGAAAAAAUAAAAUUCCUAACUCUCAGGAAUCCAACUACACUUUUUGUCCCCUAGUCCUGAUUUAAAUGAUUAACACAUUUAUUAUCCAAACUAAGGUGUGAAGUUUUAGAGCUGGUUCCAAAACAAGAAAAAUUUUUUAAAAAAUUGUUGUUUUGUUGAUUACAGCUACAGUGGUUUCUGUUCUUUGGUCUUAUACUCCUGGAAGCAUGCUUUAGAGUAAUUUUUAAUACUAUUCUAGAUGAAGUGCAAAAUAAACAAAAUACAUCUUUGUUUUCUUUCUUUCUAGCUGUCCAAAACCAUUUGAUAUUACAUCGUUUCUGAGAAGGAGCCAACAGUGGGCCAGUGAAGAAAAAGAAGUUUAAAAAGUCCAGAAAUCUUAGGGUUUUCAUGGUCAUUACCUCUGUCAGAACUUUCUUAGACCUAGUGUUUAUAUCAGAAACCCCCAGCAGCUUAGAAAUCUUCAUCCAACUCCAAUUAUGAAUACAGGUCAAAAGUAAAAUCAUGUCCCUGGAAACCUACUUAAGUACCAUGAGAACUUGAGUGACAGUUCAUUAAAGGACUGCGUCUCAUCUAAGCAAACAACAUUCCUGCGGCAGCGUAGCAGCAGCGCGCACGGACUGAGUGCGCACCGUGGGCCACUCGGGGCUCAGUGCCCUGCCCUGGUCCUCAGCCAGCCUCAUCUGAACCCUGGGCCGACCCCUC